AUGCUGGCUUCGGCAGCUCAUAUACUAAAAAUUGGAAUGAUACGGAGAAGAUUAGCAUGGCUCCUGCACAAGAAUGACACACAAAUUCAUGAAGUGUUCCAUAUUAAA
Molecule: small nuclear RNA, 108 nt
Organism: Gorilla gorilla gorilla (western lowland gorilla)
Lineage: Eukaryota; Metazoa; Chordata; Mammalia; Primates; Hominidae
Source: Ensembl